RNAcentral lists this long non-coding RNA (1289 nucleotides) under Homo sapiens (human). RNAcentral describes it as "non-protein coding lnc-GSDMC-34:24". Lineage: Eukaryota; Metazoa; Chordata; Mammalia; Primates; Hominidae. The record is from RNAcentral.
AGAUUGUGCCUGCAGCCUGGCCUGUUGCCCACAGCGGUCUACCUGCCACACUGGGAAAGAUCGAGCAGAGACAGAGAAGAAAAGGAGGCUCCAUUUUUCAGGCUGCUCUCCCGCAGGCUCAUGUUUUGUGUUCAUGCCAGGCAGAGAACACAAAAUGUUCCAAUAAAUAAGUAUCAAAGGUUAGUGGUGAAAAUGAAGGAGGAGGAGGCAUUGCGUGAAAAACUAAACAUGCAAAAUAUUACACACAAAGAGAACCAAAAUGCAGGUUCACUGGAAAUGAUAGACAAUAUGUUAAAACAAGAGGAGAGAAGAGAGCUGAAAUAAUCAAAUGGAAACACACAAUUUAGGGCUAAGAUCUUGUUGUGUUCAGCCACAAAUGAUGGCCAGCAGUGAGGAAUCUGUGUGUUCUCCACACUCUUCGCUCCUGGGAAGUCAACUCACAUGGACCAUGAUAUCAAUAUCUGCUCCUUCCCCUAAUAUCUGUUUGACCUUGGGUCAGUUACUUAAACUUCCUAAGCCUUAGUUUCUUUGUCUGGAAAAUAGGGAUAGUUAUACCUACCACACAACCACUUUGUAAUGAAUAUGUUGGAAAUUAUAUGCAAAUUGGCUUCCGUUGGUGUUUGGAACAUAGUAGGUUUUUAACUGGAAUAUAAUAGCUACCAUUAUCAGUAUCAUCAUAUUAAUUUAUAUUUCCAUCUUCAGCCCUUAACCCAGGAUCUUCAGUAAAUGUUGAAUUCUCAAAUUUGUUAAAUUCACUUGUCUAUACUAAUAUUUUACUCUAGGUUUCUUAGAAUAUUCUAGAUAAUAUUAUUAUGUAGAAUAUGUUAUGUAAGCUUCAUCUUAUCUGUAAAUAUAGUUUUACUUUUUCCUUUCUAAUUUUUAUGUCGAUUACUUCUUUUUCUUGGCUUAUUGAAUUGGCUAGGAUUCCCGUACAGUGUUGAAUACGUGCAGCAAGACUGCACAUCUUGCCUUGUUCCUGGUCCCACAGAGAGAAUAUCCAGUACUUCACAAUAAGUAUGUGUUAAUUGUAGAUUUUAUUAGAUUGAGGAAGUUCCCUUUCCUUUCAAGUCAGUCUUUUUAUUUUAAACAUGUAUUGAAGUUUUGUCAAAUGUCUUCAUCUAUUGGAAUAAUUAUACAUAUCUCUUUUUUAUUCUGUUAAUAUUACAUUUCAAUCUUCUGUCUACCUAAAAUCCCUAGAAUAAUCUCCAUUUGGCUAUGAUGUGUUGUGCUUUUAUAUAUUACUGAAUUCUAUAUGCCAAUAUUAUUAAAAUUUUCUGUCUUUAUGAGAA